This 465-nucleotide ribosomal RNA is filed under the name Vreelandella stevensii. RNAcentral's name for it is "partial 16S ribosomal RNA". It matches the Rfam family "Bacterial small subunit ribosomal RNA", at positions 338 to 795 of the family's 1533-position model. The record is from RNAcentral. Lineage: Bacteria; Pseudomonadati; Pseudomonadota; Gammaproteobacteria; Oceanospirillales; Halomonadaceae.
CCUACGGGAGGCAGCAGUGGGGAAUAUUGGACAAUGGGGGGAACCCUGAUCCAGCCAUGCCGCGUGUGUGAAGAAGGCCCUCGGGUUGUAAAGCACUUUCAGUGAGGAAGAACGCCUGUUGGUUAAUACCCAUCAGGAAAGACAUCACUCACAGAAGAAGCACCGGCUAACUCCGUGCCAGCAGCCGCGGUAAUACGGAGGGUGCGAGCGUUAAUCGGAAUUACUGGGCGUAAAGCGCGCGUAGGUGGCUUGAUAAGCCGGUUGUGAAAGCCCCGGGCUCAACCUGGGAACGGCAUCCGGAACUGUCAAGCUAGAGUGCAGGAGAGGAAGGUAGAAUUCCCGGUGUAGCGGUGAAAUGCGUAGAGAUCGGGAGGAAUACCAGUGGCGAAGGCGGCCUUCUGGACUGACACUGACACUGAGGUGCGAAAGCGUGGGUAGCAAACAGGAUUAGAUACCCUAGUAGUC